This 253-nucleotide ribosomal RNA is filed under the name uncultured bacterium. RNAcentral describes it as "partial 16S ribosomal RNA". It matches the Rfam family "Bacterial small subunit ribosomal RNA", at positions 524 to 776 of the family's 1533-position model. The record is from RNAcentral.
UACAGAGGUCUCAAGCGUUGUUCGGAUUCAUUGGGCGUAAAGGGUGCUUCGGCUGCGCGGUCAGUCGGAUGUGAAAUCUCGGAGCUUAACUUCGAAACUGCAUUCGAUACUGCCGUGCUUGAGGACUGGAGAGGAGACUGGAAUUUACGGUGUAGCGGUGAAAUGCGUAGAUAUCGUAAGGAAGACCAGUGGCGAAGGCGGGUCUCUGGACAGUUCCUGACGCUGAGGCACGAAGGUCAGGGGAGCAAACGGG